This 148-nucleotide non-coding RNA is filed under the name Nomascus leucogenys (northern white-cheeked gibbon). Lineage: Eukaryota; Metazoa; Chordata; Mammalia; Primates; Hylobatidae. The record is from Rfam by way of RNAcentral.
GCCGGGCGUGGUGGUGCAUGCCUGUAAUCCCAGCUACUCAGGAGGCUGAGGCAGGAGAAUUGCUUGAACCUGGGAGAAGGAGGUUUCAGUGAGCUGAGACUGAGCCACUGCACUCCAGCCUGGGUGACAGAGUGAGACUCUGUCUCAA